CCUACGGGAGGCAGCAGUGGGGGAUAUUGCACAAUGGGGGGGAACCCUGAUGCAGUGACGCCGCGUGGGUGAAGAAGCGCCUCGGCGCGUAAAGCCCUGUCAGCAGGGAAGAAAAUGACGGUACCUGAAGAAGAAGCCCCGGCUAACUCCGUGCCAGCAGCCGCGGUAAUACGGAGGAUGCGAGGGUUAUCCGGAUUUAUUGGGGUAAAAGGGUGUGUAGGCGGAGCGUUACGUCAUUGGUCAAAUUGAGGGGCUCAACCCCUUCCCGCCAUUGAAACUGGCGGUCUUGAGUGGAAGAGAAGUAUGCGGAAUGCGUGGUGUAGCGGUGAAAUGCAUAGAUAUCACGCAGAACCCCGAUUGCGAAGGCAGCAUGCCGGCUUCCUACUGACGCUGAAGCACGAAAGCGUGGGGAUCGAACAGGAUUAGAUACCCGUGUAGUC
Molecule: ribosomal RNA, 440 nt
Filed under: uncultured bacterium
Lineage: Bacteria
Description: partial 16S ribosomal RNA
Rfam family: Bacterial small subunit ribosomal RNA
Source: RNAcentral